AAGUCGUAACAAGGUCUCCGUAGGUGAACCUGCGGAGGGAUCAUUACACAAAUAUGAAGGCGGGCUGAACCUCUGGGGUUAACAGCCUUGCUGAAUUAUUCACCCUUGUCUUUUGCGUACUUCUUGUUUCCCUUUGGAUGGGGUUCGCCCACCACUAGGACAAAACAUAAAACCUUUUGUAAUUGCAAUCAGGCGUCAGUAACAAAUUAAUAAUUACAA
This 219-nucleotide unclassified non-coding RNA is filed under the name plant metagenome. RNAcentral describes it as "partial contains small subunit ribosomal RNA and internal transcribed spacer 1". The stretch from base 1 to 46 matches the Rfam family "Eukaryotic small subunit ribosomal RNA", at positions 1786 to 1831 of the family's 1831-position model. The record is from RNAcentral.